Numida meleagris (helmeted guineafowl) is the source of this 3430-nucleotide long non-coding RNA. Lineage: Eukaryota; Metazoa; Chordata; Aves; Galliformes; Numididae. The record is from Ensembl.
CUCUAUGGGGCAGCCCAACCCCCGCCAUGGGGCAGCUGAACCUGCGCUAUGGGGCAGCCCAAGGUGCGCUAUGGGGCAGCCGAACCCACGCUAUGGGGCAAGCCAACCCCCACUAUGGGGCAGCCCAAGGUGUGCUAUGGGGCAGCCCAAGCCCUGCUAUGAGGCAACCCUAUCCCCGCUAUGAGGCGGCCCAACCCCCGCCAUGGGGCGGCCCAACCCGCGCUAUGGGGCAGCCUGAGGCGCGCUAUGGGGCGGCCCCCGCACCUCGGCGAUGAUGCGCUCGAGCUCGCGGUUCUCCUUCUCGAGGAGGCGCGACUUCUCCUCCUCGUUGUUGUUGGUGGAGGAGCCGGUUUUCAUGGUGUCCUGCUGCUCCGACUGCCACUCGCCACGCGUGAUCAGGCGCCGCAUCUUGGGGGGGGGGGGGGGGGGCAGCGUCAGCGCCGCGACAACAACCGGAGCACGGAUACAACCGGAGCACGGCUACACCUGGAGGAGGGCUAGACCCGGAGCAGGGUUAUACGCGGAGCACGGCUACACCUGGAGCAAGGCUACACCCGGAGCAAGGCUACACCUGGAGCAAGGCUACACCUGGAGUGGGGCUACACCUGGAGCAAGGCUACACCUGGAGCAGGGCUACACCCGGAGAAGAAAGGAUACACCCGGAGGAGGGCUAUGCCCGGAGCAAGGCUACACCUGGAGCGUGGCUACACCCAGAGCAGGGCUACACCCGGAGCGGGGCUACACCUGGAGGAGGGCUACACUUGGAGGAGGGCUACACCCGGAGCAUGGCUACACCCGGAGCAGGGCUACACCCAGAAAAAGCCUGCACCCGGAGCAGGGUUAUACCCAGAGCAUGGCUACACCCAGAGCACGGCUACACCUGGAGGAGGGCUACACCCAGAGUGGGGCUACACCCGGAGCAGGACUACACCUGGAAAAAGCCUGCACCUGGAGCAAGGCUACACCUGGAGCAGGGCUACACCUGGAGUGAGGCUACACCCGGAGCAAGGCUACACCCAGAGCAGGGUUAUACCCCGAGCAGGGUUAUACCCAGAGUGUGGCUACACCCGGAGCAAGGCUACACCUGGAGGAGAGUUACACCCGGAGUACGGCUACACAAGGAGCAUGGCUACACCUGGAGCAAGGCUACACCUGGAGGAGGGCUACACCUGGAGCAAGGUUAUACCCAGAGCAUGGCUACACCUGGAGCAAGGCUACACCUGGAGGAGGGCUACACCUGGAGCAGGGUUAUACCCGGAGCAAGGCUACACCCGGAGCAAGGCUACACCCAGGGCAAGGCUACACCCAGAGCAAGGCUACACCCAGGGCAAGGCUAGACCCGAAGGAGAGUUACACCCGGAGCAAGGCUACACCUGGAGGAGGGCUACACCCAGAGUGGGGCUACACCCAGAGCAGGGCUAUACCUGGAGCACGGCUACACCCGGAGCAAAGGCUACACCCGGAGCAUGGCUAUACCUGGAGCAAGGCUACACCUGGAGUGGGGCUACACUUGGAGCAAGGCUACACCUGGAGCACGGUUACACCCGGAGCAUGGAUACACCCAGAGGAGAGUUACACCCGGAGCAAGGCUACAGCAGGAGCACGGCUACACCCAGAGAAAGGCUACACCUGGAGAAGGGCUACACCUGGAGCACGGCUACACCUGGAGUGAGGCUACACCGGGAGCAGGGCUACACCCAGAGGAGGGCUACAGCUGGAGCAGGGCUAGACCCGGAGCACGGCUACACCUGGAGAAGGGCUACACCUGGAGUGGGGCUACACCCGGAGCAGGGUUUAUACCCAGAGCAUGGCUACACCCAGAGCAAGGCUACACCUGGAGGAGAGUUACACCCGGAGUACGGCUACACAAGGAGCAUGGCUACACCAGGAGCAAGGCUACACCCAGAGCAAGGCUACACCUGGAGGAGGGCUACACCCGGAGCACCACUACACCCGGAGUGGGGCUACACCUGGAGCAAGGCUACACCCGGAGCAGGGUUAUACCCGGAGCACGGCUACACCUGGAGCAAGGCUACACCCGGAGAAGAGAGGAUACACCUGGAGAAGGGCUAUGCCCAGAGCAAGGCUACACCCGGAGCGAGGCUACACCUGGAAAAAGCCUGCACCCAGAGCAGGACUACACCUGGAGGAGAGUUACACCCAGAGUACGGCUACACCCGGAGCAGGGCUACACCUGGAGCACGGCUACACCUGGAGCGUGGCUACACCUGGAGGAGGGCUACACCCGGAGCAAGGCUACAUCCGGAGCAAGGCUACAGCCAGAGAAGGGCUACACCCGGAGCAGGGCUACACCUGGAGCAAGGCUACACCUGGAGCAAGGCUACACCUGGAGUGGGGCUACACCCGGAGGAGGGUUAUACCUGGAGCAAGGCUACACCCGGAGCAAGGCUACACCUGGAGCAGGGCUAGACCCGGAGGAGGACUAGACCUGGAGUGAGGCUACACCCGGAGCAGGGUUAUACCCGGAGUGCGGCUACACCUGGAGCAAGGCUACACCUGGAGGAGGGCUACACUUGGAGGAGGGCUACACCCAGAGCAUGGCUACACUGGGAGCAAGGCUACACCCGGAGAAAGGCUACAGCCAGAGGAGGGCUACACCUGGAGCAGGACUACACCUGGAGGAGAGUUACACCCAGAGCAAGGCUACACCUGGAGCAUGACUACAGCCAGAGAAAGGCUACACCUGGAGCGCAGCUACACCUGGAGAAGAGUUACACCCAAAGGAGGACUACACCUGGAGCACGGCUACACCAGGAGCAAGGCUACACCCAGAGCACCACUACACUCAGAGCUCCACUACACCCGGAGCGGGGCUACACCUGGAGCGUGGCUACACCCGGGGCAAGGCUACACCUGCAGGAGAGCUACACCCGGAGCAGGGUUAUACCCGGAGCAGGGCUACACCUGGAGCGGGGCUACACCCGGAGCAAGGCUACAGCCAGAGAAGGGCUACACCCGGAGCAGGGCUACACCUGGAGUGGGGCUACACCCGGAGCACAGCUACACCUGGAGCAGGACUACACCUGGAGCAGGACUACACCUGGAGUGGGGCUACACCCGGAGGAGAGUUACACCCGGAGCAAGGCUACAGCAGGAGCACGGCUACACCUGGAGCGGGGCUACACACGGAGGAGAGCUACACUUGGAGGAGGGCUACAGCCGGAGCAGGGCUACACCCGGAGCAAGGCUACACCUGGAGCAGGGUUAUACCCAGAGCAUGGCUACACCUGGAGGAAGGCUACAGCCGGAGCAGGACUACACCUGGAAAAAGCCUGCACCUGGAGCAAGGCUACACCUGGAGCACGGUUACACCCGGAGCAUGGAUACACCCAGAGGAGAGUUACACCCGGAGCAAGGCUACACCCGGAGCAGGGUUAUACCCGGAGCACGGCUACACCCGGAGCAUGGC